GAUGAAUAACGCAGCGAAAUGCGAUACGUAAUGUGAAUUGCAGAAUUCAGUGAAUCAUCGAGUCUUUGAACGCACAUUGCGCCCCCUGGUAUUCCGGGGGGCAUGCCUGUCCGAGCGUCAUUGCUGCCCUCAAGCACGGCUUGUGUGUUGGGCCUCCGCCCCCCGGCUCCCGGGGGGCGGGCCCGAAAGGCAGCGGCGGCACCGCGUCCGGUCCUCGAGCGUAUGGGGCUUCGUCACCCGCUCCGUAGGCCCGGCCGGCGCCCGCCGGCGACCCCCCUCAAUCUUUCCAGGUUGACCUCGGAUCAGGUAGGGAUACCCGCUGAACUUAAGCAUAUCAAUAAGCGGAGGA
This 349-nucleotide unclassified non-coding RNA is filed under the name soil metagenome. RNAcentral describes it as "partial contains 5.8S ribosomal RNA, internal transcribed spacer 2, and large subunit ribosomal RNA". The stretch from base 1 to 120 matches the Rfam family "5.8S ribosomal RNA", at positions 35 to 154 of the family's 154-position model. The record is from RNAcentral.